Molecule: long non-coding RNA, 1051 nt
Organism: Gymnodraco acuticeps
Lineage: Eukaryota; Metazoa; Chordata; Actinopteri; Perciformes; Bathydraconidae
Exons: 3
Source: RefSeq, a predicted model, not a curated record
CGCAUGUGAAACCAUAAUGGCUUCAUAAUUGACUGUUGCCUUAAGUUUGUUUACAUAAAACGUAAACACACAUUUCUGUCUAGACUAAUUCAUCCCGUCUGGAAACUUGUAAUGAGGUAAAAGUCUACAUGGUGGCAGUAUUCAUGUAGCAGCUAUGUGACGGACAGCAGCAUCACCUCUAAGGAAUACCUAAAUAAUCUGAUUUGAAGCAUUCAUCGGCUGCUGAUCUCAACAGGGAAGGGCCCGUAUUAAUGGGAGGCUGAUUGACGGGCUGUUUGGCCUCCAGCCGGGAGGGAUUGUUGUCUGGCUGUGGGACGAGGUCAAGGGUCACGGUCCGGAGAGGCCGAGACAGAAACCAGAUCACAACAGAAGGCUAAUUAUCAUGCAUUGUGGCCGGGCUCCUGCUGGGACUCCGCCUUCACUUUCACCAGCAGGUCACACUGAGAACUCUACACCUCCCUGGUGAGAUACGUAACUAAUGUAUUACUUAUUCUGGGAUUUAUGUGAGAGUGGUUGCUUUGCUUAAAAUCCAGGAUAGUCUAUUUAACUAUUAUAGGGCCUAACAAAUAAUAUAAUAUUGUAAGUAUUUAAUCAGCUCACAAGUACUAUAUAAUUGCAAAUAAAAUAUAUUAUAUAUAUAAUUAUUUUUCAUAAUACAUAUAUUUAAAUAUGAUAUAUUUACAAUAUACUUACUAUAUGUAUGUAUAUAAAAAAGUAUAUUAUUAUAAUAUAAUAUAAUGAUAUAACAUGUUAAUAAUGUAAGUAUGUAUAUACAUAUUUAUUAUUCAUAAUUUGUAUUAUUCUUCAGAAAAUUCUAAUCUUAAUGUGUGCCUGCCCUAUGCACAUAUGUAUCGAUAUCGUUUUGAAAAUAUAUUUUUUAAAUAAAUGUGACAUUCAUUUGACUAAUAACCAAUAAUAACUCAUCAUUUUGUAUUCCCUCGUUUCAUGUCUGUUUUUAUAUUUAAAAACAAAAACAAAACAAAAAUCAAACCCGGCCGCCCAAGUUAGUAUGGUUUCCUGGGAGGAGCUUGUGCCAAACAUUUUGUAGGGG